UAAGGAAUAUUGGUCAAUGGGGGCAACCCUGAACCAGCCAUGCCGCGUGCAGGAUGACUGCCCUAUGGGUUGUAAACUGCUUUUGUACGGGAAAAAACCUCUGAUCGUGCAUCAGGGCUGAUUGUACCGUAAGAAUAAGCAUCGGCUAACUCCGUGCCAGCAGCCGCGGUAAUACGGAGGAUGCAAGCGUUAUCCGGAUUCAUUGGGUUUAAAGGGUGCGUAGGCGGGAGAGUAAGUCAGUGGUGAAAUCCCCUCGCUUAACGAGGGAACUGCCAUUGAUACUGCUUUUCUUGAGUACAGUUGACGUGGGCGGAAUGUGCUAUGUAGCGGUGAAAUGCUUAGAUAUGGCACAGAACACCUAUUGCGAAGGCAGCUCACGAAACUGAAACUGACGCUGAGGCACGAAAGCGUGGGGAUCAAACAG
This 424-nucleotide ribosomal RNA is filed under the name uncultured bacterium. RNAcentral describes it as "bacterial SSU rRNA". It matches the Rfam family "Bacterial small subunit ribosomal RNA", at positions 355 to 775 of the family's 1533-position model. The record is from RNAcentral.